Molecule: ribosomal RNA, 508 nt
Filed under: uncultured Leptolyngbya sp.
Lineage: Bacteria; Bacillati; Cyanobacteriota; Cyanophyceae; Leptolyngbyales; Leptolyngbyaceae
Description: bacterial SSU rRNA
Rfam family: Bacterial small subunit ribosomal RNA
Source: RNAcentral
UGAGCUCGCGUCUGAUUAGCUAGUUGGUGGGGUAAGAGCCUACCAAGGCGACGAUCAGUAGCUGGUCUGAGAGGAUGAUCAGCCACACUGGGACUGAGACACGGCCCAGACUCCUACGGGAGGCAGCAGUGGGGAAUUUUCCGCAAUGGGCGCAAGCCUGACGGAGCAAGACCGCGUGCGGGAGGACGGCCUAUUGGUUGUAAACCGCUUUUGAUAGGGAAGAAACUCUGACGGUACCUAUCGAAUCAGCAUCGGCUAACUCCGUGCCAGCAGCCGCGGUAAUACGGAGGAUGCAAGCGUUAUCCGGAAUUAUUGGGCGUAAAGCGUCCGUAGGUGGUUGUUCAAGUCUGCUGUUAAAGCGUGCGGCUUAACCGCAUACCAGCAGUGGAAACUGGACGACUAGAGUGCGGUAGGGGUCAGGGGAAUUCCCAGUGUAGCGGUGAAAUGCGUAGAUAUUGGGAAGAACACCGGUGGCGAAAGCGCCUGACUGGACCUGCACUGACACUGA